CUGAACUGUCGACACGAGCUGUUGCUGGCCCUCGAAAGGGGGCACGUGCACGCUCUGUUUACACAUCCACUCACACCUGUGCACCCUCUGUAGUUCUAUGGCCUCGGGGACCCUGUCCCCUUGCUGUGGUCCUACGUAUUUACACACACACACCGUAACAAAGUCUCAUGGAAUGUAUGUCGCGUUUAACGCAAUGCAAUA
This 201-nucleotide unclassified non-coding RNA is filed under the name uncultured Tomentella. RNAcentral describes it as "sequence contains ITS1". Lineage: Eukaryota; Fungi; Basidiomycota; Agaricomycetes; Thelephorales; Thelephoraceae. The record is from RNAcentral.